RNAcentral lists this ribosomal RNA (1345 nucleotides) under metagenome. RNAcentral's name for it is "bacterial SSU rRNA". It matches the Rfam family "Bacterial small subunit ribosomal RNA". The record is from RNAcentral.
AGAGUUUGAUCCUGGCUCAGGAUGAACGCUGGCGGUAUGCUUAACACAUGCAAGUCGAACGGAGUUCCUUCGGGGACUUAGUGGCGGACGGGUGAGUAACACGUGAGAACCUACCCUUAGGAUGGGGACAACAGUUGGAAACGACUGCUAAUACCCGAUGUGCCGAAAGGUGAAAGAUUUAUCGCCUAAGGAAGGGCUCGCGGCUGAUUAGCUAGUUGGUAAGGUAAAGGCUUACCAAGGCGACGAUCAGUAGCUGGUCUGAGAGGAUGAGCAGCCACACUGGGACUGAGACACGGCCCAGACUCCUACGGGAGGCAGCAGUGGGGAAUUUUCCGCAAUGGGCGAAAGCCUGACGGAGCAAUACCGCGUGUGGGAGGAAGGCUCUUGGGUUGUAACCACUUUUCUCAGGGAAGAAUAGAUGACGGUACCUGAGGAAUAAGCAUCGGCUAACUCCGUGCCAGCAGCCGCGGUAAUACGGAGGAUGCAAGCGUUAUCCGGAAUCAUUGGGCGUAAAGCGUCCGCAGGUGGCCUAUCAAGUCUGCUGUCAAAGCGCAGAGCUCAACUCUGUAAAGGCAGUGGAAACUGAUAAGCUAGAGUACGGUAGGGGUAGCGGGAAUUCCCAGUGUAGCGGUGAAAUGCGUAGAUAUUGGGAAGGACAUCGGUGGCGAAGGCGCGCUACUGGGCCGAAACUGACACUGAGGGACGAAAGCUAGGGGAGCGAAAGGGAUUAGAUACCCCUGUAGUCCUAGCCGUAAACGAUGGAAACUAGGCGUGGCUUGUAUCGACCCGAGCCGUGCCGAAGCUAACGCGUUAAGUUUCCCGCCUGGGGAGUACGCACGCAAGUGUGAAACUCAAAGGAAUUGACGGGGGCCCGCACAAGCGGUGGAGUAUGUGGUUUAAUUCGAUGCAACGCGAAGAACCUUACCAAGGCUUGACAUGUCGCGAAUCCUGCUGAAAGGUGGGAGUGCCUUAGGGAGCGCGAACACAGGUGGUGCAUGGCUGUCGUCAGCUCGUGUCGUGAGAUGUUGGGUUAAGUCCCGCAACGAGCGCAACCCUCGUUUUUAGUUGCCAGCAUUAAGUUGGGCACUCUAGAGAGACUGCCGGUGACAAACCGGAGGAAGGUGGGGAUGACGUCAAGUCAGCAUGCCCCUUACGUCUUGGGCAACACACGUACUACAAUGGUCGGGACAAAGAGCAGCGACCUCGCGAGAGUAAGCGAAUCUCAUCAAACCCGGCCUCAGUUCAGAUUGCAGGCUGCAACUCGCCUGCAUGAAGGAGGAAUCGCUAGUAAUCGCAGGUCAGCAUACUGCGGUGAAUUCGUUCCCGGGCCUUGUACACACAGCCC